Molecule: long non-coding RNA, 1957 nt
Organism: Malaclemys terrapin pileata
Lineage: Eukaryota; Metazoa; Chordata; Testudines; Emydidae
Exons: 2
Source: RefSeq, a predicted model, not a curated record
UAAAAUUCCUUUCCUAUAACAAACUCUGGGCUGGUUAUGCUCUCUUGCUUGACCUAAAUAAGCAAGGAGUAUCCCAUAUUUCUACAUAAUAGUCCACCAUAUCCAGAAACUUCAGAGAACUCCUUGAAUGCUGCUGAUUUGAUCAAGGCAUAAGCACAUUCUUGGAAAUUUUGAAGGGUUAAAAUGCUUUCAGGGAAUUAUUUUACUUCCUUUAAGCAAUGCUGAUUAGAAUUUUUAAAAGAAGUUAUUUACUUUGGGAAACAGAAAUCCAAUCAGACAUAGGUAAACAAGGAAACCAAGCCAGCUAUUAGUUGGUUUUUGAUUACAUUAUUAUGAAGUGAUACUUAAAUAGUGGGAAAGAAAUUUAAAAUUAGAGACAGCAGUUUCAGAGGCAAAGGAUAUCUAGCAGCUGAAUUCAUUUCUCCCUAAAGAGGAUCUGAAACAAUAAAAAGAAACAAGAUGCCAUUCAAAUCACACCUGGCUGUCCUUGUUCUCGGGCUAUGUGAGCUCCAUUUAAUUGGCAGUGUAAACAAUGACAAGAUUGCCCUCAUUAUCCAGACCAACAACAAGGAUAAGGCAGUCCCCACCACUGGCGAUAAGACCACCCAGGACAAGACUGCCCCCCACAGCCAGCCCACCUCCAUCACCCAGCUGACCAGCAAGGACAAAUCCCAGACCCCAAUCACCACCCACCCCACCAGCAACGACAAAGACAAGACACUCUCCACCACCCACGCCACCAGCAACGACAAAGAUAACACAGUCUCCACCGCCUACGCCACCAGCAACGACAAAGAUAACACAGUCUCCACCACCCACGCCACCAGCAACGACAAAGACAAGACAGUCUUCACCACCCAGCCCAACAUGGACAAUGCUCGAUCAACCACAAAACUUCCAAAGAAGUUGACAUGGAAAAGUGAUACAACUUCUCAUCCUGGAGGCUCAGCUGCUACAAUCCCUUCAAUGUUUACUAUUGCAUCACUGAUAUGUGUUCUUUUGCUGUAGAUUUAAUGCCCCUCUUCUACUUUUCCACACGUAAAUCACUGAUACCAAUGUCAUUACGCUAAGAAGUCAACUCUUCUUGGCACCACUUUCCCAAGUGGGGUGCAUUUUCAUUCUUUCAGUGGGCUCUGCAACCUUUUCAGAUUAAUUCUUAAAUUAUGUGAUAUUAUGCCGUAUGCAACUCUUUGUUAAGGUGUUUUCCUAGCCACUCCAGUUCUGUAGUCACCCCACUGUCAGCUUCAUUACCCACCAGUGUUUAGUUUAUCACUAUCCUCAGCAUGCUAUGUAGGUACCAAGAUUUUCCUAGACUAUGACUAUUAAAGCUGUGGAAUUCUCAGGGAGUUGGGUUAUGGGGUAUUUGCUCCGUAUAUGUGGUUUUCUGCUUUUAACCCAAGCCAUGUGGAGUGAGCUGUGAUAAUAGGGUGACGGGUUCUAUAUAAAUAUAAAGCAGCAUUUACAAUGGUAGGUACUAAUUCUACAAAUGAACUAACAGGACAAAGGAGAGGAAAGGUAAAUUUUCUUGGAUUCAUGCUCGGGUACUAGCUGGAGUGUGCCAGCAUUCAGCAUGCUUUCUUGGCAAAAAAGAGAAAAACCUGUCUCUCUCUCGAAAGGCUUUUCACAUCUGAUAAGUCAGUUUAUUUACUUGUAUUAAACAUAACCAUUCAAAGUGAAUCUGUUCACAUCUGUACUCAAAUAUUCGGGACUGAGUAAUUAAGAUACUCUAAAAUGAAGCCUUAAUGAAAAGGCAGUACAACAAAUACACUAGCUAUGCCUUGUAAAAGUGCUAAGAUUCUUGUAUUAAGGAAAGACAUGCCAAUUUAAAAUCCCUUGCAGUUCUAUUUAGCAGUCAAGCUUUUAAAAAAAUUCUGUAAAAAUGUUUUAAGGUACAAUUUUUUAAGUUGUUUCUUGGCCAUAUUGCUAUGUCACAAUUAAAAUAUGCCUCUAUUCUGCA